Molecule: long non-coding RNA, 881 nt
Filed under: Gossypium barbadense (sea-island cotton)
Lineage: Eukaryota; Viridiplantae; Streptophyta; Magnoliopsida; Malvales; Malvaceae
Description: long non-coding RNA (GBAR_LNC015803)
Source: RNAcentral
UGGUCAAGAAAUUUACAUUAGACGUUUCUAACUUUAUGAAAUUUGAACAAUGGAUGAGGACCAGCAUUUGCAACUCCAUGACACCAUGAUAUUUUACCAUUAAAAAUGGGGUUUAAAAUUUUAAUCAAUAUCUUGCGAAGUGUAUUGAUUCAAUUAUGUUAACCAUUAUAUCAAAUAUCUACUACAUGAAUGAACUAAUCCACCCAGUACUAACAAAUUCAAGAACAAAACAAACAUUUUCAAGCCCAGUCCAAAUACAGGAGGAAAUGAUCACUUCGGAUCUCAUCAUAUGAAACGGGGAUCAAAUAAUCAAAGCGCUGAGCUUCAGUUAAAAUUCGUUUUCUUUCCCUGAAUGAACGAGAAAAACAAGAACCCAAAAAAUCUUAGUAACAAACAACCCCACAUUUCUUAAGAAAAAAGAAGAAGCAAGAAAUGGAAUUAGUUGGGGAAUUUCAACAAACAGAAGGAGAGCAAAAUAAAACAAGGAGAGAAAGGAAGAUUGAAACAAGAAAAGAAGAAAGACCCGAAAGCAGGAAGACGUUAAAAACAUACCUUGUAAAAUUUGGGUGUCAUUGGGAAUCCAUGGAAGAAGCUAAAUCCAAGAAAGAAAAGCACAUUGGUAAGAAAGAAAAACCCUAAGACAGAAAGAGGGAGGGGGAGAGGGGAGGAAGUCAACGUGGUGAAAGUGCUUGUCCUGCUGAAGAAAACUACUAAAUUUCUAAAAUUCACGUGUUCGUUUGCUUCUUCUCUAUCGCUGGUUGCAAUGCGAUGUGAUGCCCCCACCCAUCUCAUUCCAAUUUUCUAGUUUUUUUCCUUCGUAUUUUUUUUUGUUUGGAUUCAAAGAAAAAGAUGGAAAUGGAAACUUGUUUCUAAUUUAACCA